RNAcentral lists this ribosomal RNA (429 nucleotides) under Actinomycetes bacterium. Its description in RNAcentral is "Actinobacteria bacterium partial 16S ribosomal RNA". It matches the Rfam family "Bacterial small subunit ribosomal RNA", at positions 355 to 776 of the family's 1533-position model. The record is from RNAcentral. Lineage: Bacteria; Bacillati; Actinomycetota; Actinomycetes.
UAGGGAAUCUUCCGCAAUGGGCGAAAGCCUGACGGAGCAACGCCGCGUGAGUGAUGAAGGUCUUCGGAUCGUAAAACUCUGUUAUUAGGGAAGAACAAAUGUGUAAGUAACUAUGCACGUCUUGACGGUACCUAAUCAGAAAGCCACGGCUAACUACGUGCCAGCAGCCGCGGUAAUACGUAGGUGGCAAGCGUUAUCCGGAAUUAUUGGGCGUAAAGCGCGCGUAGGCGGUUUUUUAAGACUGAUGUGAAAGCCCACGGCUCAACCGUUGAGGGUAAUUGGAAACUGGAAAACUUGAGUGCAGAAGAGGAAAGUGGAAUUCCAUGUGUAGCGGUGAGAUGCGCAGAGAUAUGGAGGAACACCAGUGGCGAAGGCGACUAUCUGGUCUGUAACUGACGCUGAUGAGCGAAAGCGUGGGGGUCAAACAGG